This 198-nucleotide ribosomal RNA is filed under the name uncultured bacterium. RNAcentral describes it as "partial 16S ribosomal RNA". It matches the Rfam family "Bacterial small subunit ribosomal RNA", at positions 1303 to 1500 of the family's 1533-position model. The record is from RNAcentral.
GGCUGCAACUCGCCUACAUGAAGUUGGAAUCGCUAGUAAUCGCGAAUCAGAAUGUCGCGGUGAAUACGUUCCCGGGUCUUGUACACACCGCCCGUCACACCACGAGAGUUUACAACACCCGAAGUCAGUGGCCUAACCGCAAGGAGGACGCCGCCGAAGGUGGGGUUGAUGAUUAGGGUUAAGUCGUAACAAGGUACC